CACGUAGGGCGCAAGCGUUGUCCGGAAUUAUUGGGCGUAAAGAGCUCGUAGGUGGUUUGUUACGUCCGCUGUGAAAUCCUAGGGCUUAACCCUGGGCUUGCAGUGGAUACGGGCAGACUAGAGGUAGGUAGGGGAGAAUGGAAUUCCUGGUGUAGCGGUGAAAUGCGCAGAUAUCAGGAGGAACACCGGUGGCGAAGGCGGUUCUCUGGGCCUUACCUGACGCUGAGGAGCGAAAGCGUGGGGAGCGAACAGG
RNAcentral lists this ribosomal RNA (253 nucleotides) under uncultured bacterium. Its description in RNAcentral is "partial 16S ribosomal RNA". It matches the Rfam family "Bacterial small subunit ribosomal RNA", at positions 524 to 776 of the family's 1533-position model. The record is from RNAcentral.